RNAcentral lists this ribosomal RNA (505 nucleotides) under uncultured bacterium. Its description in RNAcentral is "partial 16S ribosomal RNA". It matches the Rfam family "Bacterial small subunit ribosomal RNA", at positions 28 to 507 of the family's 1533-position model. The record is from RNAcentral.
GACGAACGCUGGCGGCGUGCCUAAUACAUGCAAGUAGAACGCACAGUUUAUACCGUAGCUUGCUACACCAUAGACUGUGAGUUGCGAACGGGUGAGUAACGCGUAGGUAACCUGCCUGGUAGCGGGGGAUAACUAUUGGAAACGAUAGCUAAUACCGCAUAAUAUUGAUUAUUGCAUGAUAAUUAAUUGAAAGGUGCAAUUGCACCACUACCAGAUGGACCUGCGUUGUAUUAGCUAGUAGGUGAGGUAACGGCUCACCUAGGCGACGAUACAUAGCCGACCUGAGAGGGUGAUCGGCCACACUGGGACUGAGACACGGCCCAGACUCCUACGGGAGGCAGCAGUAGGGAAUCUUCGGCAAUGGACGAAAGUCUGACCGAGCAACGCCGCGUGAGUGAAGAAGGUUUUCGGAUCGUAAAGCUCUGUUGUAAGAGAAGAACGGGUGUGAGAGUGGAAAGUUCACACUGUGACAGUAUCUUACCAGAAAGGGACGGCUAACUACGUG